RNAcentral lists this ribosomal RNA (253 nucleotides) under uncultured bacterium. RNAcentral describes it as "partial 16S ribosomal RNA". It matches the Rfam family "Bacterial small subunit ribosomal RNA", at positions 524 to 776 of the family's 1533-position model. The record is from RNAcentral.
UACGAAGGGGGCGAGCGUUGUUCGGAUUUACUGGGCGUAAAGGGCGCGCAGGCGGUUCUGUUUGUCGAGUGUGAAAGCCCCGGGCUCAACCUGGGAACUGCGCUCGAAACGGCGGAACUAGAGUUCGGGAGAGGAGAGUGGAAUUCCCAGUGUAGAGGUGAAAUUCGUAGAUAUUGGGAAGAACACCGGUGGCGAAGGCGGCUCUCUGGACCGAUACUGACGCUGAGGUGCGAAAGCGUGGGGAGCAAACAGG